GGGUAACGGGAGAAUUAGGGUUUGAUUCCGGAGAGGGAGCCUGAGAAACGGCUACCACAUCCAAGGAAGGCAGCAGGCGCGCAAAUUACCCAAUCCCGAUACGGGGAGGUAGUGACAAUAAAUACUGAUACGGGGCUCUUUUGGGUCUCGUAAUUGGAAUGAGAACAAUUUAAAUCCCUUAACGAGGAACAAUUGGAGGGCAAGUCUGGUGCCAGCAGCCGCGGUAAUUCCAGCUCCAAUAGCGUAUAUUAAAGUUGUUGCAGUUAAAAAGCUCGUAGUUGAACCUUGGGUCUGGCUGGCCGGUCCGCCUCACCGCGAGUACUGGUCCGGCUGGACCUUUCCUUCUGGGGAACCCCAUGGCCUUCACUGGCUGUGGGGGGAACCAGGACUUUUACUGUGAAAAAAUUAGAGUGUUCAAAGCAGGCCUUUGCUCGAAUACAUUAGCAUGGAAUAAUAGAAUAGGACGUGUGGUUCUAUUUUGUUGGUUUCUAGGACCGCCGUAAUGAUUAAUAGGGAUAGUCGGGGGCGUCAGUAUUCAGCUGUCAGAGGUGAAAUUCUUGGAUUUGCUGAAGACUAACUACUGCGAAAGC
RNAcentral lists this ribosomal RNA (590 nucleotides) under Penicillium roqueforti. RNAcentral describes it as "SSU rRNA". It matches the Rfam family "Eukaryotic small subunit ribosomal RNA", at positions 357 to 952 of the family's 1831-position model. Lineage: Eukaryota; Fungi; Ascomycota; Eurotiomycetes; Eurotiales; Aspergillaceae. The record is from RNAcentral.